GAUGAAGAACGUAGCGAAAUGCGAUAAGUAAUGUGAAUUGCAGAAUUCAGUGAAUCAUCGAAUCUUUGAACGCACAUUGCGCCCAUUAGUAUUCUAGUGGGCAUGCCUGUUCGAGCGUCAUUAAGUCCACUUAAGCCCUGCUUAGUGUUGGGAGACUGCUCCAGCGGUGCUACCCUGUAGCUACCCUGCAGCUCCUCAAAGACAGCGGCGGAGUUGUGGUAUCCUCUGAGCUUAGUAACUUGUUCUAGCUUUCAAGUACACCACUUCCCCUGCCGUAAAACCCUUAAUUUUUAAUGGUUGACCUCGGAUCAGGUAGGAAUACCCGCUGAACUUAAGCAUAUCAAUAAGCGGAGGA
Molecule: unclassified non-coding RNA, 355 nt
Filed under: soil metagenome
Description: partial contains 5.8S ribosomal RNA, internal transcribed spacer 2, and large subunit ribosomal RNA
Rfam family: 5.8S ribosomal RNA (bases 1-120)
Source: RNAcentral